Long non-coding RNA from Polypterus senegalus (gray bichir), 420 nucleotides. RefSeq lists it as uncharacterized. NCBI's taxonomy places the organism in Eukaryota, Metazoa, Chordata, Cladistia, Polypteriformes, Polypteridae. The transcript has 3 exons. The record is from RefSeq and is a predicted model, not a curated record.
AAAGGUGGGUCUAGGACGGCAUACAAUGGAAGUGACAUUGGAGGUGGAAUGGCUGUCAAUCUUCUGUUUUGCAGAGGCUUGGAAGAGAGAAUGCAUUAGCAAAGAGCACCAAACCUUCGGCAGUUUAAUGAUAUCGGAGUGAUUUUGCCAAAGAAGAACUCCAUACAAGGAUUCACACUUGUAAAUUAAGGUUUUCAAGAAAGCAGGUUUUUGCAUUAAUCAGGUAAUGCAAGCCACACGGGACUGACUUCUGGAUUUAAAGAGAGGACUGUUGACCAAUGAAUGACGUGUAGAGGCACAGCUUCAAUUCAAAAACUCAGUCUCAUGUGCUUUAUGUUUCCAGUGUUUCUGUGCCUGUAGCUGAUUAAAAUUUUAUUUACCGUCAUACAUUGUGCUUCUGUUGGUGUGCUCUGUACUUAA